This 508-nucleotide ribosomal RNA is filed under the name uncultured bacterium. Its description in RNAcentral is "partial 16S ribosomal RNA". It matches the Rfam family "Bacterial small subunit ribosomal RNA", at positions 30 to 523 of the family's 1533-position model. The record is from RNAcentral.
AUUGAACGCUGGUGGCAUGCCUUACACAUGCAAGUCGAACGGCAGCGGGGGAGAAGCUUGCUUUUCCUGCCGGCGAGUGGCGAACGGGUGAGUAAUACAUCGGAACGUGCCCUGUAGUGGGGGAUAACUAGUCGAAAGAUUAGCUAAUACCGCAUACGACCUGAGGGUGAAAGUGGGGGACCGCAAGGCCUCAUGCUAUAGGAGCGGCCGAUGUCUGAUUAGCUAGUUGGUGGGGUAAAGGCCUACCAAGGCGACGAUCAGUAGCUGGUCUGAGAGGACGAUCAGCCACACUGGGUCUGAGACACGGCCCAGACUCCUACGGGAGGCAGCAGUGGGGAAUUUUGGACAAUGGGCGAAAGCCUGAUCCAGCAAUGCCGCGUGUGUGAGGAAGGCCUUCGGGUUGUAAAGCACUUUUGUCCGGAAAGAAAUGGCUCUGGUUAAUACCUGGGGUCGAUGACGGUACCGGAAGAAUAAGGACCGGCUAACUACGUGCCAGCCGCCGCGGUAA